AGUGGUUCCCAUCCUAUCAUGUUACCUCACAGAUGUGACUGUCUAUCUCAGCGGUUCCCAUCCUAUCAUGUUACCUCACAGAUGUGACUGUCUAUCUCAGCGGUUCCCAUCCUAUCAUGUUACCACACAGAUGUGACUGUCUAGCUCAGCGGUUCCCAUCCUAUCAUGUUACCACACAGAUGUGACUGUCUAUCUCAGUGGUUCCCAUCCUAUCAUGUUACCACACAGAUGUGACUGUCUAUCUCAGCGGUUCCCAUUCUAUCAUGUUACCACACAGAUGUGACUGUCUAGCUCAGCGGUUCCCAACCUUUCCCAUUCUGGAGACCAUCAAAUCAUCGUCAAAAGCUCUUGACGACCACCAUUCACGGAGUCGCUGAUUUCUUUCACAUCAAAUAUAUUGAUGGUCAAAUCCUAUCAAUACAUGUGGAUGUAACAAGGCCUGUAAAGGUCUAUUAUUAUUAGAAACUAUUUGCAUUGUGAAAAGGAAUGUAAAAUUACCAUUAAUACUCCCAACUGUUAUUAUUUUUGAAUAAUAAAAUACAACAAUCUCUAAAUAAUUGCAGACCAGCUGCACCACCCCCAGGGACCACAGGUUGGGAACCACUGGUCUAGGGUCUUUCAGCCAGACCUAGUUGUUGUGUCACACUGCCCUCUGCUGGUAGCACUGCAAAACAUCACCUAAAUAAAUCAAAUCAUUAAAUUAAUUAAUUUAAUUGCACAUUUAAUAGAUAUAACCUUAAUUUAUAGGCUGAAUACUGGUAUUAAGUGUAUGAAGACUUAACAUGACAUAAAUAUCAACAAAUGAACCUAUAGGUGUUGAAUCCGCCCACUGUGUUGAAACAGGAAGUCCAUUUAUAAGGAAGCAGAGGAAAGGGUCUCUUAUUAUUAUAGCUCAAUGGUGCCGUUACUUCGCUUCACCUCCGUUCCGCCAGUAAGAAUAAACAAGACCUAAAUCCACUUUUAACAGAAAUUCAUAUUGUAUGGGCUGAAUACUUACAUGAAGUGUAGGGAGACUUUACACGACAUAAAUAUGAAUAUAUAAUAUAAACUUAUACGUGUUGAACCCGCCCACUGUGUUGAAACAGGAAGUACAUUUAUACGGAAUUAGUUGAAUAAAUGGACACCAUCGGUCGAAGAAAAAUGUUUCUGAACUCCCAUAGACUUAACAUUGGUCGGACAAUUCAGCCGUGGUUGGAUAAAACAGACGUGGUUGGAUGUUCACAUGUGAAAGACUCUCGUCCGCCGAGCUACAAGCGAGAUAGUAGAGCUGCUCAUCGAUUUGACUGGUGUCGUAACGCAGCCGUGUUCCUGCCUCUGACUGCCAUCGUCCUCACAGAGCCCAGCCUAUUUUCUCUGCAUCGGCAACACUACAGCAGCUCCUCGGAGUGAAGCCGCUUUUUGAGCGUCAAACCAGCAGACUAAUCCAACUAGCAUAACCAUGUCCCUGUGUCCUCUGUCCUCUUUUCUUAUAUAUCAUAAUAUCAUCGUACGUACACAAUAUCAUUAUAUAGUCUAACGACCCUGGGUUUAUAAGCGUGGAUAGCGACUGUUGUACAGAAAUGAUCUAACAGUUCCAAACUCAAUCAGAAGUAGUUUAAUCCAUUUUAUUCAAGUAGUAUAUUUGCCAUUUGCAAGUACCUAUUAAAAGUAAUAUAUAGGAAUUAUUCUUUGUAGCUCUCUCACAUAUAGUAGGUCUACAUAGCACACAGAGGUAUACAGUAUAACAGUCACAUAGAACAAAUAAAACAUUCCUAAAAUCCUCUAUGACGUCCUUUAAUUUCAGCACCAGGUUGAUUCCACUGCACAUCGCUGUUAGACACUGCGCUUCUUGUCUGUCUGUAGGCUGUCUCGUCGUUGUUAUUGACGAGACUUAUGACGUUUUUAGUCUCACAAUGGAUUCUGAGGAACCCUUUUUAUUAUAGUGCUGUGAUAAUACAAACAUACAGCCUCCUUAAUAUCUAAACAUAUUAUUUGAAAGACUGAAGACGGAGAGUUCUGCAUGAAAGAUGUAUUUUAUUAUUGUCAGUGACAUGGCACACAACCAUUGGUUGAGGCAAUGUUGCGUGUCAAUUGUAGACGGCCUCGUAGGAUUUCAGUGGGCGGGGCUGCAGCGGAGCUCAGCAUUUCUUCCGAAUCUCUCUCCCCCCUCAGCUAUGCCGGUGUGUAAAUGGGAGCCGAGACUAUCACACAGUGCCAAUAGAGAGACGCCGAUGAAGUGUGUAUCAGUCAUGCUGGUGGCUGGCAGCGACGACAGAGCAGAGCGUGACAUGCCAGUGGUUUUUCCUGAGGGGAUGUGUUUUCUUGGUCUUGGAUCCACGGAGUGAUAGCGGAAUGUUCCAUUUAUUCUAUGGUUCUUUCCUUCCCGUCUUAUUUCUAUCACCAUGGCAUGAUCCAGAGCAGGGCGGUGUAACUGGUUGAUUCAACAUCACUGUUAUAGUGAUAGGAAGAGACACAGAGGAUUUUGCAACAAGUGCAAGUAGGAAAACAGUCAUUACACCUUUCCCCCUCAUAAUCAAGGCAGUUCUCUCUGGCAGUGUUCAAGCCUUAGCAGCAGUCAAUCGGAGUGUUUCUGACUUCUGGCUGAUUUGUUCUGAUGAUGAUGGCGGCUGGCAGCUCCCUUCUGGUUUCGUUUUACAGCUCAGAGUGUCAGUGAGUAGAGAGGCAGUGCUUGUUUUAUAGUGACUUGUAUUUCCAUUCACUUACAAAAGUGAGACAUACAUUUCUCCAGUAGAUUAGUUGUAUGCUUCGCCCGGGUAGGAUAACUUACUGUCUAUUAUUUUCUAUCCAGUACAGCUUGGUUUUAUAGUGACUGACUUGACAUUUGUCGGACAAUUCAGCCGUGGUUGGAUAAAACAGCUGUGGUUGGAUGUUCUCAUGUGAAAGACUCUCGUCCGCCGAGCUACAACCGAGAUAGUAGAGCUGCUCAUCGAUUUGACUGGUGUCGUAACGCAGCCGUGUUCCUGCCUCUGACUGCCAUCGUCCUCACAGAGCCCAGCCUAUUUUCUCUGCACCGGCAACACUACAGCAGCUCCUCGGAGUGAAGCCGCUUUUUGAGCGUCAAACCAGCAGACUAAUCCAACUAGCAUAACCAUGUCCCUGUGUCCUCUGUCCUCUUUUCUUAAAUAUAAUAUCAUCGUACGUACACAAUAUCAUUAUAUAGUGUAACGACCCUGGGUUUAUAAGCGCGGAUAGCGACUCUUCCGCUUGAGCAUGCUUUUGGGGCGCAGUCAAUAGCGCGCUGGACUUCGGGCUACAAGGUUGAGGGUUCAAGGCCUGCUCCCUACCUGUUUCAUUACGUUACAUUUUACUAUCGUUAUAUUUCUGUGCUACAGAAAUUAUCUGACAGUUCCAAACUCAAUCAGAAGCUUUUCUAAGUUUUAUUCAAGUAGUUUAAUCCAUUUUAUUCAAGUAGUAUAUUUGCCAUUUGCAAGUACCUCUUAAAAGUAAUACAUUUGAAUUAUUCUUUGUAGCUCUCUCACAUAUAGUAGGUCUACAUAGCACACAGAGGUAUACAGUAUAACAGUCACAUGGAACAAAUAAAACAUUCCUAAAAUCCUCUAUGACGUCCUUUAAUUUCAGCUCCAGGUUGAUUCCACUGCACAUCGCUGUUAGACACUGCGCUUCUUGUCUGUCUGUAGGCUGUCUCGUCGUUGUUAUUGACGAGACUUAUGCGUUUUAGGUCUAAAGUAGUGCCCUACAUGGGGAAUAGGGUCCUGGUCUAAAGUAGUGCACUAUAUAGGGAAUAGGGUCCUGGUCUAAAGUAGUGCACUAGAUAGGGAAUAGGGCCCUGGUCUAAAGUAGUGCACUUAAUAGGGAAUAGGGUCCUGGUCUAAAGUAGUGCACUAGAUAGGGAAUAGGGCCCUGGUCUAAAGUAGUGCACUAUAUAGGGAAUAGGGCCCUGGUCUAAAGUAGUGCACUAUAUAGGGAAUAGAGCCCUGGUCUAAAGUAGUGCACUAUAUAGGGAAUAGGGCCCUGGUCUAAAGUAGUGCACUAUAUAGGGAAUAGGGCCCUGGUCUAAAGUAGUGCACUAUAUAGGGAAUAGAGCCCUGGUCUAAAGUAGUGCACUAUAUAGGGAAUAGGGCCCUGGUCUAAAGUAGUGCACUAGAUAGGGAAUAGGGCCCUGGUCUAAAGUAGUGCACUAUACAGGGAAUAGGGCCCUGGUCUAAAGUAGUGCACUAUAUAGGGAAUAGAGCCCUGGUCUAAAGUAGUGCACUAUAUAGGGAAUAGGGCCCUGGUCUAAAGUAGUGCACUACAUAGGGAAUAGGGCCCUAAUCAAAAGUAGUGCACUACACAGGGAAUAGGACCCUGGUCAAAAGUAGUGCCCUACAUAGGGAAUAGGGCCCUGGUCAAAAGUAGUGCCCUACAUAGGGAAUAGGGCCCUGGUCAAAAGUAGUGCCCUACAUAGGGAAUAGGGCCCUGGUCAAAAGUAGUGCCCUACAUAGGGAAUAGGGCCCUGGUCAAAAGUAGUGCACUACAUAGGGAAUAGGGUCCUGGUCUAAAGUAGUGCCCUACAUAGGGAAUAGAUUACCAUUUGGGACAGACAGAGACUCAAGGCUGAGUGUUUAACAGUAAAAAGAGAUUGAGAAAUGACAGAAGUAGGUUAAAAGUAGGGAGAGCACUGAUGGAGAGAGAGAGUACUUUGAUUGGUACUGUAUGUCUUGUAAAUAUUAAUUAUAUACAGUCCCAGUCAAACGUUAGUUAUUUAGUUUGUCAGUUUUUCUAAAUUUUUGGCUAUUUUCUACAUUGUAGAAUACUAGUGAAGACAAAACUAUGAAAUAACACAUAUGGAAUCAUGUAGUAACCGAAAAAGUGUUAAACAAAUCAAAAUAUAUUUUAGAUUCUUCAAAGUAGCCAACCUUUGCCUCGAUGACAGCUUUUCUUCUGAUUAUCUUGAUCUCUGGCUCCCUCUUGAGUCAUUAGUGUCUUAAUUGUUUUAUUGAACAGUGCGCUUAAAGCAUCAGACAAGCUCAGUGCACAGACCUAUAGUUGAUUUGAUUACAACACAUAGGGUGUGUCUAUGUGGAAAAAUCUGGUACAUUUACAGAAGGAUUUAUUGAUGUCCAGUAUCCCUGUCAAAUACAUGGAGUACAUGUCAAUUAAAAGGAAUGCGUUUUGUGUGUAUAUA
Molecule: long non-coding RNA, 5125 nt
Organism: Salvelinus fontinalis (brook trout)
Lineage: Eukaryota; Metazoa; Chordata; Actinopteri; Salmoniformes; Salmonidae
Exons: 2
Source: RefSeq, a predicted model, not a curated record